UGGGGAAUAUUGGACAAUGGGCGAAAGCCUGAUCCAGCCAUGCCGCGUGUGUGAAGAAGGUCUUCGGAUUGUAAAGCACUUUAAGUUGGGAGGAAGGGCAUUAACCUAAUACGUUAGUGUUUUGACGUUACCGACAGAAUAAGCACCGGCUAACUCUGUGCCAGCAGCCGCGGUAAUACAGAGGGUGCAAGCGUUAAUCGGAAUUACUGGGCGUAAAGCGCGCUGAGGUGGUUUGUUAAGUUGGAUGUGAAAUCCUCGGGCUCAACCUGGGAACUGCAUUCAAAACUGACUGACUAGAGUAUGGUAGAGGGUGGUGGAAUUUCCUGUGUAGCGGUGAAAUGCGUAGAUAUAGGAAGGAACACCAGUGGCGAAGGCGACCACCUGGACUAAUACUGACACUGAGGUGCGAAAGCGUGGGGAGCAAACA
RNAcentral lists this ribosomal RNA (427 nucleotides) under uncultured bacterium. RNAcentral describes it as "partial 16S ribosomal RNA". It matches the Rfam family "Bacterial small subunit ribosomal RNA", at positions 355 to 774 of the family's 1533-position model. The record is from RNAcentral.